GAUUGUUGCGAUGAGGACAAACAAGCUCCCUCUUCUGAAGACAUUGAGGACACUUGCUGGCAGAAUCGAACCAAUUACACUCAUUGCCACCACUGAGCAA
This is a small nucleolar RNA of Dichanthelium oligosanthes, 100 nucleotides long. It matches the Rfam family "Small nucleolar RNA R30/Z108". Rfam says of the family: snoR30 is a C/D box small nucleolar RNA which acts as a methylation guide for 18S ribosomal RNA in plants. NCBI's taxonomy places the organism in Eukaryota, Viridiplantae, Streptophyta, Magnoliopsida, Poales, Poaceae. The record is from Rfam.